UGGCUCAGAGUGAACGCUGGCGGUAGGCCUAACACAUGCAAGUCGAACGGCAGCACAGGAGAGCUUGCUCUCUGGGUGGCGAGUGGCGGACGGGUGAGGAAUACAUCGGAAUCUACUUUUUCGUGGGGGAUAACGUAGGGAAACUUACGCUAAUACCGCAUACGACCUACGGGUGAAAGCAGGGGACCUUCGGGCCUUGCGCGAUUGAAUGAGCCGAUGUCGGAUUAGCUAGUUGGCGGGGUAAAGGCCCACCAAGGCGACGAUCCGUAGCUGGUCUGAGAGGAUGAUCAGCCACACUGGAACUGAGACACGGUCCAGACUCCUACGGGAGGCAGCAGUGGGGAAUAUUGGACAAUGGGCGCAAGCCUGAUCCAGCCAUACCGCGUGGGUGAAGAAGGCCUUCGGGUUGUAAAGCCCUUUUGUUGGGAAAGAAAUCCAGCUGGCUAAUACCCGGUUGGGAUGACGGUACCCAAAGAAUAAGCACCGGCUAACUUCGUGCCAGCAGCCGCGGUAAUACGAAGGGUGCAAGCGUUACUCGGAAUUACUGGGCGUAAAGCGUGCGUAGGUGGUCGUUUAAGUCCGUUGUGAAAGCCCUGGGCUCAACCUGGGAACUGCAGUGGAUACUGGGCGACUAGAAUGUGGUAGAGGGUAGCGGAAUUCCUGGUGUAGCAGUGAAAUGCGUAGAGAUCAGGAGGAACAUCCAUGGCGAAGGCAGCUACCUGGACCAACAUUGACACUGAGGCACGAA
Molecule: ribosomal RNA, 748 nt
Filed under: Xanthomonas sp. NK3
Lineage: Bacteria; Pseudomonadati; Pseudomonadota; Gammaproteobacteria; Lysobacterales; Lysobacteraceae
Description: bacterial SSU rRNA
Rfam family: Bacterial small subunit ribosomal RNA
Source: RNAcentral